This 253-nucleotide ribosomal RNA is filed under the name uncultured bacterium. RNAcentral's name for it is "partial 16S ribosomal RNA". It matches the Rfam family "Bacterial small subunit ribosomal RNA", at positions 524 to 776 of the family's 1533-position model. The record is from RNAcentral.
UACGGAGGGUGCGAGCGUUAAUCGGAAUUACUGGGCGUAAAGCGUGCGCAGGCGGUUUGGUAAGACAGAUGUGAAAUCCCCGGGCUCAACCUGGGAAUUGCAUUUGUGACUGCCCGGCUAGAAUCUGGCAGAGGGGGGUAGAAUUCCACGUGUAGCAGUGAAAUGCGUAGAGAUGUGGAGGAAUACCGAUGGCGAAGGCAGCCCCCUGGGCCAAGAUUGACGCUCAUGCACGAAAGUGUGGGGAGCAAACAGG